Molecule: long non-coding RNA, 635 nt
Organism: Chinchilla lanigera (long-tailed chinchilla)
Lineage: Eukaryota; Metazoa; Chordata; Mammalia; Rodentia; Chinchillidae
Exons: 2
Source: RefSeq, a predicted model, not a curated record
UCCAGCAGAGGGACCGUGAGAGCAAAGCCUUCACGACUGAUGAGGAUUUGAGCCGGCAGAUGCCUACAGUGGUGAGCAAAGGCAGUGUGAUGGGGUAAGAGCAAAGGUGCUGACAAGGGCUCCGCAAACGGCCAUACGCAAUGACAUUUAAUUCCUUUCUGAUUAUGCCCCACCUCUAUUAUCCUCCCAGAAGUCCGUCUUCUCUAUAGAUUGCUAGGGUGUUUCCCAAGGUGUGUGGUUAAGUUUAUUCAACAAGGAAUAGUGCAGGGCAUUUGACUUUGUUAGUUAUGUGGACCUAGCUCCAACAGUUCCAAGUCCUAGAUGCUCAUGUGGACUCCUGAGACCAGCUCUGGAUCUGGGUCCCUUCGGAUCAGUAGCAUCAAUUCUGCAAAGAUACUGUCCACCCAGGUACCCUAUGGAUGGUAUGGUGCUGCAACCAGACAGACACCCCUUGUGAAUCUUAAACUCUGGUUCUUUUGUUAAGAGUACACUUAAGUUUUCUGCUCUGAAUUUCUUUUCUAACUCACAGAAGAGGGGAAAAAAAAACAACAUAUUUUUAUUCUUCUUCCCUUUCAAAAACACAAGUUGCAAAACUUUGUGAAUUUGACAAAUAAAGGCUUUUAUUUUCUCCAAAA